GGCGAACGGGUGAGUAACACGUAAGUAACCUGCCUUUAAGACGAGGAUAACAACCGGAAGGUUACUAAGACUGGAUAGGAAACAAAAAGGCAUCUUUUUGUUUUUAAAAGACCUUCUUACGAAGGUAUGCUUAAAGAGGGGCUUGCGCCACAUUAGUUAGUUGGUAGAGUAAAAGCCUACCAAGACGAUGAUGUGUAGCUGGACUGAGAGGUUGAACAGCCACAUUGGGACUGAGACACGGCCCAAACUCCUACGGGAGGCAGCAGUAGGGAAUUUUCGGCAAUGGAGGAAACUCUGACCGAGCAACGCCGCGUGAACGAUGAAGUAUUUCGGUAUGUAAAGUUCUUUUAUUGAAGAAGAAAAAGUAGUGGAAAAACUAUAUUGACGUUAUUCAAUGAAUAAGCCCCGGCUAACUAUGUGCCAGCAGCCGCGGUAAGACAUAGGGGGCGAGCGUUAUCCGGAAUUAUUGGGCGUAAAGGGUGCGUAGGCUGUUAGAUAAGUCUAUAAUUUAAUUUCAGUGCUUAACGCUGUCUUGUUAUAGAAACUGUCUUGACUAGAGUGAGAUAGAGGCAAGCGGAAUUCAAUGGUGUAGCGGUGAGAUGAACAGAUAUCAGGAGGAACACCAGUGGCGAAGGCGCCGCUCUGGGCCGAGACUGACGGUGAGGAGCGAAAGCGUGGGUAGCAAACAGGAUUAGAUACCCUGGUAGUGCACGCCGUACACGUUGGGCAGUAGGUGUGGGUCUCAACCAACGAGAUCCGCGCCGUCGCUAACGCAUUAAGUGCCCCGCCUGGGGAGUACGGCCGCAAGGCUAAAACUCAAAGGAAUUGACGGGGGCCCGCACAAGCAGCGGAGCGUGUUGUUUAAUUCGAUGUUACGAGAAGAACCUUCCGUUGGUUUGACAUGUAGGGAAAAGCUAUGGAGACAGGGUGUCCUAUCGGGCCUUCCACAGGUGGUGCAUGGUUGUCGUCAGCUGUUGUGGUGAGAUGUUGGGUUAAGUCCCGCAACGAGCGCAACCCUUAUCAUGUGUUGCCAGCGGAUAACGCCGGGGACUCGCAGGAGACUGCCGGGGUCAACUCGGAGGAAGGUGGGGACGACGUCAAGUCAUCAUGCCCCUUAUGAUCUGGGCUACAAACGUGAUACAAUGGCUGUGACAAAGAGUAGCUGAAACGCGAGUUUUUAGCCAAUCUCAAAAAAGCAGUCUCAGUUCGGAUUGAAGUCUGUAACUCGACUUCAUGAAGUUGGAAUCGCUAGUAAUCGCGAAUCAGCAUGUCGCGGUGAAUACGUUCUCGGGGUUUGUACACACCGCCCGUCAAACCACGAAAGUUAGCAAUGCCCGAAAGCAGUAGCUUAACUUCGCAAGAAGAGGGAACUGUC
Molecule: ribosomal RNA, 1375 nt
Filed under: Brinjal little leaf phytoplasma
Lineage: Bacteria; Bacillati; Mycoplasmatota; Mollicutes; Acholeplasmatales; Acholeplasmataceae
Description: bacterial SSU rRNA
Rfam family: Bacterial small subunit ribosomal RNA
Source: RNAcentral